GAUGAACGCUGGCGGCGUGCCUAAUACAUGCCAGUCGAGCGAACGGACGAGAAUCUUGCUUCUCUGAUGUUAGCGGCGGACGGGUGAGUAACACGUGUAUAACCUACCUAUAAGACUGGGAUAACUUCGGGAAACCGUAUCUAAUACCGGAUAAUAUUUUGAACCGCAUGGUUCAAAAGUGAAAGACGGUCUUGCUGUCACUUAUAGAUGGAUCCGCGCUGGAUUAGCUAGUUGGUAAGGUAACGGCCUACCAAGGCAACGAUGCAUAGCCGACCUGAGAGGGUGAUCGGGCACACUGGAACUGAGACACGGUCCAGACUCCUACGGGAGGCAGCAGUAGGGAAUAUUCCACAAUGGGCGAAAGCCUGACGGAGCAACGCCGCGUGAGUGAAGAAGGUCUUCGGAUCGUAAAACUCUGUUAUUAGGGAAGAACAUAUGUGUAAGUAAAUGUGCCCAUCUUGACGGUACCUAAUCAGAAAGCCCCGGCUAACUACGUG
Molecule: ribosomal RNA, 497 nt
Filed under: uncultured bacterium
Lineage: Bacteria
Description: partial 16S ribosomal RNA
Rfam family: Bacterial small subunit ribosomal RNA
Source: RNAcentral